This is a long non-coding RNA of Cyprinus carpio carpio, 2865 nucleotides long. NCBI's taxonomy places the organism in Eukaryota, Metazoa, Chordata, Actinopteri, Cypriniformes, Cyprinidae. The record is from Ensembl.
UGCGUAUCUGCUGUAAAUGAGUUCCCUCAACAGUUUAUCAACAUGUGUCCAGUAGGUUAGUGAUAGUGGAAUAUUUAGGGCCAGUUUUGUCCAUCACAAGUAAUUUUUUCUUGGUUAAUUGUUGCUUUAAAAUUUACACUCACGACGUCCCCACAGCACACUUUCAGUCACUCCGUGUUGGAGUUGAGAUGGUGUGUGAGAUUAGAUGAAUCUGGUCCCCAUGAGGAACAAUAACGUUGUGUGUGAAAGGUCCCCUUGAGGCCCGUUUUAUUCAAGAUGUGUGUGUGAGCGCAGACACAGGAUGAUGGACAGGGAUACAAUUUUUCUCUCUGAGCUCUGGUCAACUUUUUCAUUUUCAUAUUUCAAAUACAAUAGUAAUGUCAAAUAUUGUUUAUCCUUUCUGUUUACAGAUUGCGUCCCAGCGCCAAAAUGAAUAUGAGAUUUUUGUGCCAAAACUGAGACGGACUAAAAGUGUCAUAAUGAAAGACACAAAUCUUGAAGAUUCUGAUGAGCUCUUUGAUUCUACACCAGAGAGUUCAGAUGAUUACGUUCCAGAUACCACUUCUGAAAGUGACAGUGAUGUUAGCCUUACACUAAACCAGACAAAACGUCAGCUUCUUGAUGAACUGGAUGUUGAUCAGUCUGGCUCAGUGAGUUGCCCUGACUGUGACACCACAACGUCAGACAAAAUGCACAGCCUUAUAUCUGAAGCAUCUGGAACAGGAGAAGAACCCAGUUCAAGUCAGAACACAGCAGACGGCGUAGUUGUUAGUGCAUACCAAAAAAGAGAUGGUGCUAGAGUGUACAACAAGAGACAUUACUGCUUGUACUGCAGUAAACCAUAUGCUAAGAUGGCAAGGCAUCUAGAAAGUUCACAUGAAAAUAAGUCUGAUGUGGCUAGAGCUCUAAGCUUUCCAAAGGGGUCAAAGGAGAGAAAAAAACAGCUUGAUUAUAUUCGCAACAGAGGAAACUAUGCUCACAAUGCAGCUGUUAUGGAGUCAGGAAAGGGGGAACUAGUGCCAUUUAAACGACCACGUAAAAAAGUGCAGGGAGAAGAUUUCAUGCAUUGUGCAUACUGUCAAGGACUUUUUACAAGAAAGGUCCUGUGGAGACAUAUGCGUACUUGUAGACUUCAACCACAAUCAGACCCUCCCAAACCAGGAAAAAACCGUGUUCAGUCCAUGUGUACCUACACCGGGCCUGUGCCUUCAAACAUGACCAGACAACUGUGGGGAGUCAUCAGUGCCAUGAAUCCUGACCCAAUUACACACAUAAUAAAAAAUGACAGAGUAAUUACUGAAAUUGGGCAGCACUUGUUAAACAAAGGUGGGCUAUCAGAUAAGAAUAAACAAUGUGUGCGGGAGAAGAUGCGAGAAUUGGGAAGAUUGAUUCACAAUGCCAGGAAAGUCACCUCCUUAAAAACACUGGAAGAUUGUGUAAAUCCAAAGAAGUACAUGGAGACUGUCAAAGCUGUCAAGUAUACAUGUGGGUAUGACAGUGAAACUGACAAAUUCUUGAUUCCGUCACUUGCAAACAAGCUUGGGAAUUCCCUGGUUAAAGUAAGCAAACUCUUGAAAGCUCAGGGCUUAAUCUCCAACGACAAACAGCUUGUGAAGAAUGCCAGUGAGUUUCAAGAAGUCCAUGCGAAUAAGUGGAACGAGAUGAUCUCUGCUACAGCAUUGAGGAAUAUCAGGGAAGCAAAGUGGAAUGUGCCCACUCUCAUGCCCUUUACUGAAGACGUACAAAAACUGCAUACUUUUCUCAGUCAAGUGCAAGACGAGUGGUUCAACCUGCUCUCUGAAAGUCCAUCUACUAAAGCCUGGAUGGAGCUGGCCAAGGUGUGUCUUGCCCAGAUGAUUCUCUUUAACCGGCGGAGAGAAGGAGAGGUGGCGAGCAUGCCUUUGUCUGCAUUUUUAUCAAGAGACACUUCUGAUCCACAUGAGGAUGUGGACUGGGCUCUCUCCGAAGUGGAGAAGAAACUCUGCAGACACUUCACAAGGGUUAUCACCAGGGGAAAGCGUGGUCGGCCAGUUCCAGUUCUUCUGACUCCAAAAAUGCUGUGUUCCUUAGAACUCCUUGUUAAGCAGAGAGAGGCGUGUGGGGUUUUAAAAGACAAUGCCUAUAUGUUUGCUAGACCAGAAGCCAUGACACAUUUCCGAGGGUCAGACUGCCUCCGUGGCUUUGCAAAGGCAUGUGGUGCAAAGUGUCCCAAGGCACUGACAUCUACCAGGCUGCGAAAGCAUGCCGCGACCCUUUCAACAGUGCUGAACAUGACAGACACCGAGAUGGACCAGCUGGCAAACUUUCUUGGGCACGACAUCAGAAUCCAUCGUGAGUUCUAUCGACUCCCUGAGAAGACCCUGCAACUUGCCAAGAUCAGCAAAGUUUUAAUGGCUCUUGAGCAAGGAAGAUUAGCUGAGUUCCAUGGCAAGAACUUGGAUGAAAUUGGGAUAGAUCCUGAUGAAAAAAUUAUUGACUGUGAUGAGGAAGAACAAGUUAUUGACUGUGAUGAGGAAGAACAAGUUAUUGACUGUGAUGAGGAAGGCGGAAGCAUACAAGAGGGACACUGUUCAUCUACUGUUGACGCCGAGGUGGCACUUCCUUCUACCGAGAGGAAUAUGUCACCACCUCACAAAAGAGGCAAACCAUCAUCAGAUGUGCAGAUGCCUUCAGGAGCCAGUGCUAUGAGACCGCCUCGCAAAGGUAAAACUACCCAGAAGAAAACUCCCUGGCAGCAGGCAGAGGUGCAGGCGGUGGAAAGGCACCUGAAGCCAUUCAUCAUAUCUGCCACUGUACCAGCAAAGAGUGACUGUGAGAAAUGCUUGAAAGCUGAACCAGAAGCUCUGAGGAACCGCGAUUGGAAGA